UACGUAGGGUGCAAGCGUUGUCCGGAAUUAUUGGGCGUAAAGAGCUCGUAGGCGGUUUGUCGCGUCUGCUGUGAAAACCCGAGGCUCAACCUCGGGCCUGCAGUGGGUACGGGCAGACUAGAGUGCGGUAGGGGAGAGUGGAAUUCCUGGUGUAGCGGUGAAAUGCGCAGAUAUCAGGAGGAACACCGAUGGCGAAGGCGGCAUCCUGGACCGGCAUUGACG
This 222-nucleotide ribosomal RNA is filed under the name uncultured bacterium. Its description in RNAcentral is "partial 16S ribosomal RNA". It matches the Rfam family "Bacterial small subunit ribosomal RNA", at positions 524 to 745 of the family's 1533-position model. The record is from RNAcentral.